Molecule: transfer RNA, 75 nt
Filed under: uncultured bacterium
Lineage: Bacteria
Description: tRNA-Ala
Rfam family: tRNA
About the family: Transfer RNA (tRNA) molecules are approximately 80 nucleotides in length. Their secondary structure includes four short double-helical elements and three loops (D, anti-codon, and T loops).
Source: RNAcentral
GGGGCUGUAGCUCAGCGGGAGAGCGCUCGCCUGGCGUGCGAGAGGUCGUGGGUUCGAAUCCCACCAGCUCCACCA